Molecule: unclassified non-coding RNA, 224 nt
Filed under: plant metagenome
Description: partial contains small subunit ribosomal RNA, internal transcribed spacer 1, and 5.8S ribosomal RNA
Source: RNAcentral
UCUCCGAUGGUGAACCAGCGGAGGGAUCAUUACAGGACUCGCAAGACUCCUUCACCCUGUGAACCUCACUACAAGCACGUUGCUUCGGCGGGUGUCCCGGCGGGGGUUUUCCCUCGCCGGGGCGCACAGCCCGCCGGCAGCCUACUAUACUCUGUCUCUUUGCGUUGGCAUCUCGAGAAAAAACAAACAAGUUAAAACUUUCAACAACGGAUCUCUUGGUUCUG